UCAGGACGAACGCUGGCGGCACGCUUAACACAUGCAAGUCGAACGAGCGAAAGGUGCUUGCACCUCUAGCUAGUGGCGGACGGGUGAGUAACACGUGAGCAAUCUGCCUUUCGGUGGGGGAUACCAAUUGGAAACGAUUGUUAAUACCCCAUAACAUAACGAAGCCGCAUGACUUUGUUAUCAAAGAUUUAUUGCCGGAAGAUGAGCUCGCGUCUGAUUAGGUAGUUGGUGAGGUAACGGCUCACCAAGCCGACGAUCAGUAGCCGGACUGAGAGGUUGAACGGCCACAUUGGGACUGAGACACGGCCCAGACUCCUACGGGAGGCAGCAGUGGGGAAUAUUGCACAAUGGGCGAAAGCCUGAUGCAGCGAUGCCGCGUGAGGGAAGAAGGUUUUAGGAUUGUAAACCUCUGUCUUUGGGGACGAUAAUGACGGUACCCGAGGAGGAAGCUCCGGCUAACUACGUGCC
This 468-nucleotide ribosomal RNA is filed under the name uncultured bacterium. RNAcentral describes it as "bacterial SSU rRNA". It matches the Rfam family "Bacterial small subunit ribosomal RNA", at positions 24 to 509 of the family's 1533-position model. The record is from RNAcentral.